Molecule: unclassified non-coding RNA, 248 nt
Filed under: uncultured fungus
Lineage: Eukaryota; Fungi
Description: sequence contains ITS1
Source: RNAcentral
AAAAAUGUUUGGUCUCGUACCAAAUCAACACCUGUGUGCACCAAAUGUCUGUCCUUGGUAGUUCGAGUUGCACUUUUGGGACCUCAACAUCCCAGAGUGCCUACCGUUUCUCUCAUGGCCGUGUCCAAUGGGCCUUGCUUAUUGGACUGGCCGAGUUGCGGUUGGGCUACCGACCAUGUCAAACAACUUUCUUAUCUUUUUGCCUGAACUUUUUAAGACUUGAUCUUAAAAUCUUAAUGUAUCUUAUA